RNAcentral lists this ribosomal RNA (460 nucleotides) under uncultured bacterium. RNAcentral's name for it is "partial 16S ribosomal RNA". It matches the Rfam family "Bacterial small subunit ribosomal RNA", at positions 338 to 795 of the family's 1533-position model. The record is from RNAcentral.
CCUACGGGCGGCAGCAGUGAGGAAUAUUGGUCAAUGGUCGGGAGACUGAACCAGCCAAGCCGCGUGAGGGAUGAAGGUACAGAGUAUCGUAAACCUCUUUUGUCAGGGAACAAAGGCGGGGACGCGUCCCCGGAUGAGUGUACCUGAAGAAAAAGCAUCGGCUAACUCCGUGCCAGCAGCCGCGGUAAUACGGAGGAUGCGAGCGUUAUCCGGAUUUAUUGGGGUUAAAGGGUGCGCAGGGGGUUUGUUAAGUCAGCGGUGAAAGGCCGGGGCUCAACCCUGGCCCCGCGGUUGAACUUGGCAGUCGCGAGUUGGAGAGAAGUAGGCGGAAUGCGCGGUGUAGCGGUGAAAUGCAUAGAUAUCGCGAAGAACUCCGAUUGCGAAGGCAGCAUGCCGGCUCCACACUGACGCUGAGGCACGAAAGCGUGGGUAUCGAACAGGAUUAGAUACCCUUGUAGUC